UUGUUUAUAAAAAGGACCAUAACAUAUUGCUGCGGGAGAAGUUCCAAGCCCUUCGGCUUUGUUUAAGAUAUGGCUAAUAAUGCACGUCACAAUGUUUUCAUUGCUCUCUUUAUAUUUAUCUUCAUCAUUUUGGUUCUGAUACAGCCGUCAACCUCCGCUCGUUCGCUUCUAUGUAUGUACGAGUACUGAGUUUUUCUUUUUGUUCAUUUUUUUUCCCUUGCUUUGAUAUAUUAUGACUCAAAAUUUGGAGAUGAAUUUAGUAUUAUAAAGGGGCAACUCUUUAAUUAAGUUUGGAUCUUCUGCUCAAGUUGUUUUUUUUUUUUAUUUUUUUUUAUUUUUUAUUUGUUAUCUGUUGUACUGAGUGUUAGAAUAUAAUCAACUUGAAUUCAAGAUAGUUAUUCGAAAUCUUAGGGAAAGAUUGAAUUUUUUAUCUCGUGUACUUUCAUCUGCAAUUCUUCUAAUUUCAUUUAAUUUAGAUAUUUAAAAUAAUUUUUCAUCGUCUGGUACAAAUAAGAAUUAAAUGAAUCAAAUGAAUCCAUGUAAAAACUUAAAAAUUGAGCUUAACAUUCCACUUGAACUCAAUUAUAUCCUGAUUCCUUUUCUUUUUAAUCUCAUUGUAACUGGUAAUCAAUUAACAGAGAAAAAAGAAAAAGAAUUUUGAAUUCUCUUUUUUUUUUUUUUAAUGAAAUUAAUUAUUGAUAUUUGUAGACUGCGCGAUAAGUCCGUGCGGCGGUGGAUCACCACCAGGAGGACCAGGAAAACGCAGAUAAUCGAAUCGAUAUCCCUUCGGAGGCUAACCUGAGGAGGUCAAUAUAAUGUGCAAAUGAUAAACAACUUCACUAGUAUGUUUUAUUUUAUUUUCCUUGGUCUUUUUCCUCGGGUUUGUCUGUUAAAUUCUACAAUUGUAUUAGAAAUAAGUCACUUGCCUUGGUCUGCAAGAGUGUUUUGACUUUCAAUAUUAUUGUCAAAAAAUAUUAAAUAUUUUGUUUUCGCAUAAACUUACUUUGGAAUGCUAACUAUAGUUACUUAGAUACUCCUUCCAUGUCAUUUGACUUUGUUUAAGAUAAUUGCAUAAUUAGAUAAUAAUUGCACUAUUAAAUACUAUUCAUGUAAUUUCAAGAAUUGUUUAAGAUAAUUGCACAAAGAUUAAAGAAAUCAAUAUUACCCACCAACAAGGAGUGAAUUGAGUUAGGUAAACGAUCUCAAUUCUUAUAAGAAUGAAAAUACGUGUUCGAUCCUUAAGAAACUCAUUUUGCUGGGACCGCCAAAAAUAUUUAUGCUCUACGGUCCGAGGGGAUUAUACAUCAUGAUUAUUUAUAUAUAUAAAAAAUCAUUAGCCACAAUAUAUACCAAAAAUACAAGUUGUAAUUAAAUAAAUUAUUUUAAAUAAAAAAUAUUCUCAUUCUUUAUUUAAUAAAGAUAAAAUAAAUUUUCUCAAAAUAAAAGAUAGAAUAAAAUUUAAAUAUCAAAUUAUAUUUAUAAUUUAGCUGGUAGCACAUUUAUAAAUUUAGAAAUAUGAUAUAUGAGGCAUGUGCAAUUAAAAUAAUUAAGAAAUUACUUAUUUAUUUUUAUGAAAUUAAUAAUUUCACUAUAUUAUCAAUCCAAAAAUUACUACAAUUACGAUUUUUAAUCCUUAAAUCAUAGAUAAUAUAAAACAAAAUACGUAAUAUAUAUAUAUAUAUAUAUAUAUAUAUUUUAAACUUCUAUGCCAUGCUUGCGAUUUUUUAGUAUGUAACAAAAAUUAUAUUAUGAAAUUGUUAAUUAUCACAUUUAUUUCAAAAAAUAAAAUUUUAUUUGUGCAACAUUAUUUACUUAGACUGCUGAAAUUUUUUCAAAUUUUUAUUCUUUCUAAAUUUUUUUUAGAGUCACAUGAUGAUUUAAAAAUGAUGAAAAUACUUUUUUUGUUGUAAUCUCAUCCUUAAUUUUCAGUUAGACAAUCAUUAUUAUAAAAGGUCAAAAUUAUGUGAAUUAACAAAAAGAUCAAAAUAAAGUGAAUCUUUGAUGUUCUGUUAUAAUAGACCCAUUUUUUCACAAAAUAUAAACUUUUUUUUUUCAAUUUUGAUGACUUAAAUUUACUUCAAGUCAUCUUAGAAAAUCCCUUUAUGUUAUUGUCACUUCAAAAAUGAAAUUAAUUAUGAUAAUAGUUGCAGGGCCUUCUUGCCAGACGGACGCGUGUGAGAGUGAUCCAAUUCCUGGAGGACCAGGGAGGCGCUGAUAAUCCAGUGCAUAUCCCAUCGGAGGAUUAAAAGUUAAGACAGAAGCCCAAGAUAUUAUGCAAACGACUAGUAGUAUUAUAGACAUAACCAACUCAAUCAUAGUUCUUUUUUUUUUUUUUUCUUUUUUUUUUAAUUUGUUAU
Molecule: long non-coding RNA, 2357 nt
Filed under: Jatropha curcas
Lineage: Eukaryota; Viridiplantae; Streptophyta; Magnoliopsida; Malpighiales; Euphorbiaceae
Description: long non-coding RNA (JCUR_LNC002412)
Source: RNAcentral